AUGAAUAACAGUACAUGUCCGGUCUGUAAGAGAUAUUGUGAAGACAUAAAACAUGUUAUUUUUCAGUGUGAGGAAGCAAAAGGUAUUUGGCAGAGAAUUGGCUUGAUAGAGGUGGUUACUGAAGCAUGUCAGAUAGAUCGGUCAGGUAGUGCAGUGCUUGAUUAUCUGAUGGCUGGAAAGUUCAGGGUCCCAGUUGAUGCAUCAGUAAAGUUUUUGAGAGAAACAAUCAUAACGGCCGCUUGGUAUAUUUGGUGGAGACGAAGACAGACAGUCCAUGCAGAAACUGUGCAAUCUUUAUCACAAGCGGCGAUGUCAAUUCAAGUCUUGGUAUCUAGUUUCUCGAAAGCACAAGGGAAAGAGAUUCAACCAAGAUCAAGUACGUGGCAUCGGGCGUCUGAGGGUUUUAUCUCUGUAAAUGUUGAUGCGAAGUACGAUAUUAAUAUGAGGUCAGGAGCUACAGGUGUGGUAAUUAGAGAUGAUAAAGGAAGAUUUGUAGGCGCGGGAUCCAAGCUCAUUCCUUUUGCGCUUGACGCGGCAACAGCUGAAGCUCAAGCAGUUCUAGAUGGUAUUCAUCUUGCAAAUCAAAUAGGCUGUCAGAAAUUAGUUAUUCAGUCUGAUUGUGCAGGAGUUAUUGAUACUCUUCUGGAAGGCGGUUUCUCUGCGACAGUUGCUGCUCCAAUAUUCGAAGACAUUCGUAUUCAGGCGAGCUCUUUUGACAGAAUCUUAUUUAUGCACUGUCCAAGGGAAGCAAAUCGGGUAGCGCAUACACUUGCACAUGAAUGUAGGCUAGAUAGUUGUGUGUGG
Molecule: ribosomal RNA, 804 nt
Filed under: Triticum aestivum (bread wheat)
Lineage: Eukaryota; Viridiplantae; Streptophyta; Magnoliopsida; Poales; Poaceae
Description: partial small subunit ribosomal RNA
Source: RNAcentral